This is a non-coding RNA of Peromyscus maniculatus bairdii (prairie deer mouse), 805 nucleotides long. The record is from RefSeq and is a predicted model, not a curated record. NCBI's taxonomy places the organism in Eukaryota, Metazoa, Chordata, Mammalia, Rodentia, Cricetidae.
CACCACUGCCUGACCUCGAUGUCUAAUCUAGUGGCUGGCUCUGUCCUCUGAUCCUCUGGCAAGCUUUAUUGAGGUACACAAUAUAUCACCACAGAGACCACAUAAAGUAAAGUCUUUCUGGUUAUGAUUUUGAUGUUUUUGCAAAGAAGUGUGUGUAAAGGCAUAUGUAGAAGUUGGAUUUAAAUAAUAAUGACUAGUAAAGAUUAUUUAUUGAAUAUUUGUAUGGUGCUCACUAAGUGCUUUAUCUUUGUUAUCUCAUUGGUUACUUAAGUCCCACACAAAAUACUUUCGAAAUGAGCGGCUUGAGUCAGAACAGUUCAGAAACUUUACAAGGACAAGACAAUAAGGACAAGGCAUUGCCAAUAUGAUUCUGUUAUCCCAAAUGUCUUCUGCCCGACACCAGACAUACCCUUGUUGAUUUACAUGAAAUCAAGACCGCAUGUGAGUUACCUUCCAGAUGCUCCUGGUGCAUGUCCCAUCGCCUUCCUUGUGUUUUGUGCUCCCACAAAAUUGCAUGCCUGUGUGUUUCCUUUGCAUACCUGUGGCUUCUCACCUCUGUGUAUUUGCCAAGGAGUCUUUUUGUUGGACAUGAUUUAGGCACAUCCUCCUCUGGAAGUUCUCUGAACGUUGUAGGUCUCACCAAAUACAGUAGGUUCAUUUCACAUGAGGACCUCCAUCAUGCUUUCCUUGCUCUACCAUGUAUCAAUUUUUACACAGAGAACACAUGGAACAACUGAUACCUCCAGUUGCCAGCAUGUUAUUAAUGUGGAAAUCCAAUAAAGUUUCUCAACACUGUAUCAUAAAA